CACACACACACACACACACACACUCUCACACACUCUGACACUCACACACACUCACACACACACACACACACACUCACACACACUCACACACACACACACACACACACUCACACACACACACACACACACACACACUCACCCCUCUCUCACACACACACACACACACACACCCCUCUCACACACACACACACACACACACACUCUCUCUCUCACACUCUCACACACUCUGACACACACACACACACUCACACACACACACACUCACACUCACACACACACACACACACACACACACACACACACACACACUCUCUCUCUCUCACACUCUCACGCACACACCUCCAUCCUGUUUGAUGACAUCACGUUCAGCUUUGUCAUCCAUCACCGCCUCCAUCUACGCUCGCAGCUGAUUGGCUGAGGAGAGGUGCGAUCAUGUGACCGAGUCUUCGGAGUGAAGCUGCUGAUGAAGAGGAGCCGACCCUCUGCGACCUUUGACCUCAACUAACUUUAGCUUCUUCUUUGACCUCCUUUAGUUCUUCUGGGGUUUGUUUGCACUUUAAAUUAGAUUGACCAACCAGCAGGUCUGUCUGCAGGUCUGUCUGACUGCAGGUCUGUCUGCAGGUCUGUCUGUCUGCAGGUCUGUCUGCAGGUCUGUCUGCAGGUCUGACUGCAGGUCUGUCUGCAGGUCUGUCUGCAGGUCUGUCUGCAGAUCCAGGUCUGUCUGCAGGUCUGUCUGCAGGUCUGUCUGCAGGUCUAACUGCAGGUCUGUGGAGGUUAAUGACACAUGAAGAAGAACAAACAUUACAGGAUGUUUGUGAGGUGAAGCUGGAUUAUGAACAUGAGCCCUCUUCUGAUUAGAGGACGUUAACUCUGGUCCCGAACUGUUUGCUCUGUGUGACCACUGCAGAGUUCAGCUGAUUUAUAACAGGAGAGGACGAGUUGAGACAUUUUCAACCCAUAAAUGUGGUUAUAAUCAGUUUCUUUGAUCACAUCAUCGGAGGAAAUAACCUUUUCUUUUAUAUUUGGAACAUUUCCACUCGUCUAACAUUUAAAUUAUAUUAAAUGUUUUAAAUUACAAAAGUCUAAAGAAAUAACAAGUUUCCCCCUGAUUCUAGCCUUCAUGCUAAGCUAGGCUAACUGCAUCCUGACUCCGGCUCUGCACUUAAAGGUUUCCUGUCGAGUUUUGACCUCUGGAGUCAUCACGGAGCCCGAUAACGCUCGCUAUUAAAGGCACAGAAGAAGAAAAUUUUAACUUUUUUUUUUUUCUGCAUGAAUUGAAAAUCUGACUUAAAAACAUUUGUUCAGAAACAAACUCUCAGAAAGAGAAAGACUGUCCCUUUAAUUCAGAGGUCCUGAUAAACCAGGAAGACAAACUUACUCUGAUCUCUGAUCCAGAGAAACUGUUUACAGCCGGACGACGUCUGAAAACCUGUAAAUACUUCAUCAUCAUCAUCAUCAUCAUCAUCAUCAUCAUCAUCAGCCACACCUGUCCUUGUGAUGUCAGGGAUGUGACGCGCUUUAUUUUGGCGGGCCAUGACCCGACGUGACCUCCGACACAGCUCCGCGGAGGUCGAGUCUUUAAGUGCCAAGAUGGACAAAAUGAACUCACCUGAACUCACCUGACUCCUCCUGCUGCAGGCCGCUCGGCGGGUCGUACCACGGUGGUGUGAUGUGGGGGGGGGGUGAAGGGACAGACAAUCACAGUCAAACAGGAAGUCUUCCGCCUGCAGCAAGGACUCUUCUAUGCCUCCUUCCUUUCUUUCUUCCUCUAACUACAAACUGAACUUGUUGCAUGCCGUCUUUAUUUGAGCGUUUUGUGUUUCGUCAGCAUGACGCUUCCAGUUUCUACUCGCAGGGUUACGUAAUUACCCAUAAUUCAACGUGUUUUUAUUGAACAGCUUCAUAACUUUAUGAGGACAAAGUUUCAGUUAUUGAAAAUAAAGUCAUCUUGUGAGUUAAAGACUCAUGAAAGAAAGUUGUAAUUUAACAAGUAAAAAGUCUUUCAGAAUAAAAUGACAAUAUUAGAAAGUUAUGGAAUAAAAUUAACAAACGUCGUGAAGAUACAAAAUAAAGUCACAAAUUUGAUGAAUCGUACAAUAAAAUUCAAUAUCAUGAGAACAUUUGAUUUUAAUCACUGAAGUAAAACAAUAUGAGAAUAAAGUUGUAUUUACAAUGAAGUAAUCACAAUACAUUAUUGUAGGUUAUUACUAUUAUAGUAAUUUUGAAAUGUCAUAAUGUGUCAAAAUAAGUUGUAAUGUUUCACCAAAAAGUCACAAUUUAAUUAUUAUAGUUAUAAUUUUAAAAGCUAAAGUUGUAAUAUGGGAAUUAAAGACGUGUUUUAAUAUUUUAAGAAUCUUUUUGUGUUUUCUCAUAAAAUUACAACUUUAUUCUUUUUACUUUAAUGACUUUAUUUUCAUGAUAUAGGAACAAAUAACAACUUUAUUCUCAAAAUUAGACGGGUUUAUUCUCAGAAUCACAUUUCACGAGAAAAAUAAAGCCAUAAAAACUGAGAAAAAGUGACAAUAUUAAUCAGUAUUACAGGUUUUAUUAUUGUUUAUUUUACAAGAAAGACUUGGAAUUAAUGUAUUAUUGUAAUAGAAAUAAUAAGACGUCAUCUGCAUAAAACUUUUUUCUUUUUAUUGCAACUUCAUCUCAAAAUAUUAUGAUUUUUAUUCUAAAAAUACGUCUUAAUUUGAUUAAGUUUAUAAAUGUUUUUCUACAAACAUGAUUUUCGUGAUAUUGAGACUUUUACUAAAAUUCAAAUUACAACUUUAUUCUCGUGAUAUUGACUUGUUUUAAAUCUUAAUUCAGUCGUAUAAUCGUCGCUACGUGUCUUAAUAAGUCUGAAGAAGAUUCAAUGAUUCAUUAAUUAUUAAUUUCCUGUCUCAGUGCCACAUGACCACAGUUUCUAAUCAUUUCCUGUUUUUCUCAUUUUGGCCAAAUGUUUUCAUGUUUAUUGAUUAAAAAAAAAUGAUUCCAGGUUAAAAACAAUAAAUAUCAGCUUUGUGACGUCGCAGCUGAUUAAUGUUAUUGAUUAUUUUCUGAUCUUCAGUCGCAGUUAAAGAUGUUUCAUCUCUGCUGUCAGAUCAUAAAACUACGACUUUAUCCAGGUUCUUUCAUCAUGUUUGUUUGUUUGUUUGUUGAGUUAAUGAAAAUGUGAGGACCAAGUAAACAACACAAAAUACACAAAAACCAAUAUGAAAGUUAACAUUCAGGAAUAAAAGGUAUUAAAAUACGUACAGAAAAGAUUUACAGCUUUUUAAAAGUUACAUUUUUGAAUAUUUAGUGGAAAACGUUUUGUUUGUAUGUACUUUUCUUCCAUUAUAGAUUAAUGUAUUGGUAACCAUCUCAGUAUUAUAACUCUUGUCACACAACUUUAUUCUCAUUAAGUUGUGACUUUUUGUUGUGACUUUUUCUCCGCAUCAUAUUAUUUUAUAUUCAAUGUGACACCAGAGCACAUUUUUAUUUAUUUUGAAGACGCCGUUAACGUCUCACCAGACUCCAUUCUAAAAUCUGCUGAUUUAAUGUUCUGUUACAAGUGGGGAAACGAUGUGUCUUAGAGCAAAAUAUAACAACUGCUAUUAAUCUUCAGUUAUUUCUGGUCAGUCUGGCUCCUUUGUCUUCGUUCACCACCAGACUCUGUUUAAAAAUCUGCUAAUUUUAUGUUUUUAGCUUCAACUUUGCAGAAAUGACCUUUCCAGUAAAUGUUUGAAGUCCAGAGAAGAAGUGUAGCUCUUCUUCCUCUCCAGGAUUUCACGCUGCAGUUGCACAUGUGCAGUAGAGGUAACGACGCAUUUUUAACUGCGACAGGAAGUCCUGCCCCCCCCCCACCCUCGCUCGUCUGUUUGCCUUACAAACUGUUUGCUGUGAAUCUUGUUCAACGUAAAUUGUAAAGAAGCUUCUAAAAGGAACAGAAACAUGUUAAUAAAUGUUAAUAAAGUGACUUAUUUCCUGUGCUGGAGGACCGACUCUAACUGUAGUGAUGAUAGUAGCUUUAGACUCAAACUGGGACUGAUGGUUGGAUCCCAGUUUAACAGCAUGCUCUCUCUCUUACUGCUCUCUGUAUUUUAACUGCAGCCGUCUGAAAUAAACUCCUCUCGUCACUUUCUGA
Molecule: long non-coding RNA, 4111 nt
Organism: Dicentrarchus labrax (European seabass)
Lineage: Eukaryota; Metazoa; Chordata; Actinopteri; Moronidae
Exons: 3
Source: RefSeq, a predicted model, not a curated record